This 1402-nucleotide long non-coding RNA is filed under the name Suricata suricatta (meerkat). Its description in RNAcentral is "lncRNA (ENSSSUG00005018662.1)". The record is from RNAcentral. Lineage: Eukaryota; Metazoa; Chordata; Mammalia; Carnivora; Herpestidae.
AAAAGGCACGACUGUGAACACUUUUUCCGCAAGUGAAGAAAUGGCGCAUGAAUAAAGGUGGUCACGUUCUGAUCCUGAAGCCAGCAACCACCUUUGCACAAGGGAUCGCCGGUGUCCAAGUCCCCGCAAGCGGAAGGACUACAUUUCCCAGCCGCCCUGGCCAGACCGCGUGGUCACGUGACCCGCGAAAGGCAAGCCGAAGUUUCAGGUGUUUAUUCUGGACCUUAAAGAAAGGGACCAGGGACGUUGGCUUCGCGUUUGCCUGCAGUCCUUGGUGAGCCAGUUAACGAUGAUACUCGGAGGACGGUAUCUUGGUCUGGGUUCCCUCAAAAGGAGACCCUGAGACCCAGGAUUUCCAGGGUAAGUAUUUCUUUGUGAGAUGGCCCCAGAAAACCCCAGGGCGGGGGGGGGCAGCAGCCAGUUACCACCAGGGACACCUGGGACCCAAUCCUGCUGGAGGGUUCUGGAAGGCAGCAUAGACCACACCUCGGAGCCGCCCUUCCCACGGGGGGCGGGAACGGGGCGCGAGUCCCCACGGCGCCUCGAAAGUCGUGGGUCGCGGCUGCCCCCUGGAGGGGGCGAUCUCCCCAACAUUUCCGGCGUGACCUCCGGCUGCCGGCGAAGGCUCUUAGGCGGACAGACGCGGGUGCCGUCUGUCGGGAACGGGGCGGGCACCUCCCGAAACGGUUACCCACUCUGACGCACAAAGAAUGCAUCUCAAAUUGCGGGGAGGGUUCCAACUUGACAUCUCCCAGCAGCGGCAAGAACAGGAAGAAGAACAAAUAGGAAACACACUCAUGGCAGCCAUGGCCCCCCCCAGGCAUUCAUUCACCUUAGGAGGAGGCGAGAUCACCGGCCCAUUUUACAGAUGAGGAAACCAAAGCCCAGAGAGGUGCCGUGACUGGCACAAGGUCACACAGCCGGUGAAGUGGCAGUGGGAUCGCGCGCCCAGAGCACUUGGGCACACGGUCCGGUCUCUGCACCGGUUGGCUCCAGCUGCCCCUCUGACUAAUCUCACUACAGGAACUGCCCUGAUUGUUCUACAAUCAUGCGAAUGGGCGCGGACACGCAACACGAAUCAUCAUCGGUUUGGUUGUGACAGUAACCCAACCACGUCAUUUCGGGAGUGAACGGCACGGAAUUCCAAACAGAAAUGUAAAUCCUAGGGGCGCCAGGGUGGCUCAGUCAGUUGGGCGUCCAACUUCAGCUCAGGUCAUGAUCUUGCCGUUCGUGGGUUCAAGCCCCGCGUCAGGCUCUACACUGACAGUGUGGAGCCUGCUUGGGAUUCUCUGUCUCCCUCUCUCUGCCCCUCCCCUGCUCAUGCUCUGUCUGCCUCUUUCUCUAAAAAAAUAAUAAAACAUUUUUUAAAAUGCAAAAAAAAAAAAAAAAAGAAAAAGAAAUG